CCUACGGGUGGCAGCAGUGGGGAAUAUUGCACAAUGGGGGGAACCCUGAUGCAGCAAUGCCGCGUGAAGGAUGAAGGUUUUCGGAUUGUAAACUUCUUUUGUACGGGACGAAGAAAGUGACGGUACCGUAAGAAUAAGCCACGGCUAACUACGUGCCAGCAGCCGCGGUAAUACGUAGGUGGCAAGCGUUGUCCGGAUUUACUGGGUGUAAAGGGCGUGCAGGCGGAGAGACAAGUCAGAUGUGAAAUCCACGGGCUCAACCCGUGAACUGCAGUUGAAACUGUUUCCCUUGAGUGUCGGAGAGGUAAUCGGAAUUCCUUGUGUAGCGGUGAAAUGCGUAGAUAUAAGGAAGAACACCAGUGGCGAAGGCGGAUUACUGGACGAUAACUGACGGUGAGGCGCGAAAGCGUGGGGAGCAAACAGGAUUAGAUACCCCUGUAGUC
RNAcentral lists this ribosomal RNA (443 nucleotides) under uncultured bacterium. RNAcentral describes it as "partial 16S ribosomal RNA". It matches the Rfam family "Bacterial small subunit ribosomal RNA", at positions 338 to 795 of the family's 1533-position model. The record is from RNAcentral.